Molecule: ribosomal RNA, 442 nt
Filed under: uncultured bacterium
Lineage: Bacteria
Description: partial 16S ribosomal RNA
Rfam family: Bacterial small subunit ribosomal RNA
Source: RNAcentral
CCUACGGGCUGCAGCAGUGGGGAAUAUUGGGCAAUGGGCGCAAGCCUGACCCAGCAACGCCGCGUGAAGGAAGAAGGCUUUCGGGUUGUAAACUUCUUUUGUCAGGGAAGAGUAGAAGACGGUACCUGACGAAUAAGCCACGGCUAACUACGUGCCAGCAGCCGCGGUAAUACGUAGGUGGCAAGCGUUGUCCGGAUUUACUGGGUGUAAAGGGCGUGUAGCCGGGUUGACAAGUCAGAUGUGAAAUCCUGCGGCCUAACCGCAGAACUGCAUUUGAAACUGUUGAUCUUGAGUACUGGAGAGGCAGAUGGAAGUCCUAGUGUAGCGGUGAAAUGCGUAGAUAUUAGGAGGAACACCAGUGGCGAAGGCGGUCUGCUGGACAGCAACUGACGGUGAGGCGCGAAAGCGUGGGGAGCAAACAGGAUUAGAUACCCGAGUAGUC